GUUUCGGUGGUGUCACUGGUAGGCAGUUGGACUAACAAUCCAAAGGUCGUCAGUUCGAAUCCCGGGAUG
This 69-nucleotide transfer RNA is filed under the name Culex quinquefasciatus (southern house mosquito). RNAcentral's name for it is "tRNA-Val". The record is from RNAcentral. Lineage: Eukaryota; Metazoa; Arthropoda; Insecta; Diptera; Culicidae.